RNAcentral lists this ribosomal RNA (433 nucleotides) under uncultured bacterium. RNAcentral's name for it is "partial 16S ribosomal RNA". It matches the Rfam family "Bacterial small subunit ribosomal RNA", at positions 29 to 507 of the family's 1533-position model. The record is from RNAcentral.
AGCGAACGCUGGCGGCAGGCCUAACACAUGCAAGUCGAACGGACCCUUCGGGGUUAGUGGCGGACGGGUGAGUAACACGUGGGAACGUGCCUUUAGGUUCGGAAUAGCUCCUGGAAACGGGUGGUAAUGCCGAAUGUGCCCUUCGGGGGAAAGAUUUAUCGCCUUUAGAGCGGCCCGCGUCUGAUUAGCUAGUUGGUGAGGUAACGGCUCACCAAGGCGACGUUCAGUAGCUGGUCUGAGAGGAUGACCAGCCACACUGGGACUGAGACACGGCCCAGACUCCUACGGGAGGCAGCAGUGGGGAAUCUUGCGCAAUGGGCGAAAGCCUGACGCAGCCAUGCCGCGUGAAUGAUGAAGGUCUUAGGAUUGUAAAAUUCUUUCACCGGGGACGAUAAUGACGGUACCCGGAGAAGAAGCCCCGGCUAACUUCGUG